CCGAAGUAGUCUCAGCUUCGUGGAUAGUUUGCAGUUUGGGAGAGCCUGUGUUUUGUGUGGGAACGCGAAUUUUCUGGAGAAAUAUCAGAAUAGGGACUGGGUACAAGAGAAGGCUCAGCCAGUAAAGCCAGUAAGGCUGGCUGAAAACUUUUUAUGGAGCCAAGGAUGACCAGAGCGUCUUCUCUUCCUGAUUCCUCAAGCUGACUGCUAGAAUCACAGAGGCUCUCACUGGACCUGGAGCUCACUGAGUGGCUACACUGACUGGGACUGCCCUGUCACAAGCCUGGGAUCAGUAUCUUUCCUUAGCCACAGAGGAAAAUCCCACAACCCUUUACUCUGUAUCAUGACUCUAAGGAUAGAACCAUGUGACUGAAGCUGUCAAGUACUGAUGCCCACUUGGGAUGAAGUCUGGCUUCCUCGUUGAAUUACAUUUGUAUAAGGCUGAUUGACAAGUCCAGCAGAAAGCCCAUUCUGCUGACUCACUUGCUCAGCAAAAGCAUCCUCUAGAAAUGUCUGCAGGGCAGGAGACUUGAGUCACUUUCCCACACUGGGGAGGUGACAUUCUCUUGUAAGAAGUGAAGACUGUCUUUUGUAGAGACAUAACUUGAUGGGCUCUUUGGCAUAAUGGUGACUCUUGAACAGCUAAUAAAAUAAGAACGUGAAGUUGGUCUUCAAAACUAUUAUAAAAUGUUGAAACAGAGAUUAUCUGAGUCCUAUGUAGGAGAAAUUGGAGGUACUGGAAGAGCCGAAGAGAUAAAAAGGGUCUGGAAAAAAGCAGAACUGUGGACAAUGAUUAGCCACUGCCCUGCAGUCAGUCCAAGAAUAUAAGAAUUCAGUUCUAAACGAAUGGCUGUCCUAUCUUGUAGACCUCUUGUGCAUAGCCUAUACUGAAUCCCUAGUAAAAGCACAACCCACAGUCUCCCGGGUUCAGUUGUGAUGUAAAGGACUCUGGUGUGGCCAGAUGGGAACAAAGUUGCGAAGACCAAGGGCAGAAGCUCUUUUAGUGGGAUGAUUCCAUGUGUGAAACUGUAGCAGGGAGAUGAUAUCCUAUGACUGGUGAAAGCACUGACACAGAAAACUGAACCAUAUGGAAAUUUGGAGAGACAUCACCAGUUGUUCUAUGCUUCUGGAGUGAUGACUGGAUUUUCGGAGUAUGUGGAAAGGAACUUAAAUGUUAAAGACAAUGAAGUGUCAAGAAGUUGGCGGUAAUUCUCCACGGUUAAUCACAUGACCUUGUGGCAACUGUAUCACUUUACAAUUGUGACAGCUUCACGUCUGUCAGCAUCUUCUGCACAGUAUUAUCAUCUCAUUGUAGGAACAAAGAGACCUCACAACCUUUUAACAUGUCCACAGCUGCUGCCUUAGGCCACAUGCUUAAUAAUUAUGUGUGGGUUACAACAGGUUAAGUUGAUUGGACUUGUUCUCCACAAUGGUAAGAAAACACAUCACAUAUCAUUUUGAUUACAAAAUAUGAUAUGUGGAGUCAAAAGCUUUUCUAGCAUAGAACUCACUUUUAAAAGUUGUAAUGUAUUAGGAAAACGAAUGAAAUGACCUGAGCAGACCUGCCAUAAGAUUAAACUAUUUCCCCCAGUACUUUAGUAAAGAAUAGGCUUAGAGCAUUGCUUUUCUGGCUGUUGAAUUAUAGUUUGUAGAGUUUAAAUGUAUUAUGAUCCAGGAUUCCUCUAAUGUUUUCCUCUUCUGUAUGCUAUAUAGCAGGAUAAGUUAUGUAAAGAUAGGGGAAGGUUAUUCAUUGAGCUUCCAAUCUAUGUUUAUUUAGGACAGAAUAAAUUAUAUCAUGAAGUAUGCAAAGGGCAGCUAUCUAAGAUAUUUGGAAGCUUAUAAUUCAUACUACUCAGAAGUUAUUCUGUCAUUUUAAAAUUAUGAUUUAGGAUAGGAAACUAAUGCACAGAACUAUAUAACUUAAUUCUUAUCUAGUACAAAGAGGCAGUUUGAGGGAUUUAUGACUCCUCGUGUUUACUCCCUAGCCUUCGGAGGCUGAAGUCAGAACAUAAAUGGGUGGGCAAGACUAUAGUCAGGUAGAAGAAAUAGCCUAUCCUCUAAAUGUGAACCGCCCUUUGCCUCACAGUCUCUGAACUUGUGGAACUGGAAAAGUGAAGACUUUUGUAGUGGGCAGUGCUCUUAAGUGACUGAGGACGUGACGGGUCUUGUGCUCAUGAAGCUGGAUCUAGGUAGUGAGGAAUUGAAGGCAGGAUUCCCAUGUGGAUUAAAAAUAAUAGUUACUGGAAAUUUUCAUCUCAAUGUGCUGCGUACUGGGGUUCUGGACACAUCCAGUGUAUUUCUAGAACCUUCCCUUCCUUCCCUCCACCCUUCUCUCUUUCUCCCUUUCUCUCUUUUUCUCAACCCUCCCUCCUUUCCUUUCUUCCUUUCUGUACCCUCUCCUUCUCUCUUCUUCCCUCCCUUCCUUUGCCAUUUUCCUUCCCAUUCUUCCUUUCUUCCAUCCCUUUUCCUCCCUUUUAAAGAUUUUUUUUAGUUGACACAGCAUUAUAGGAGACAGUAAGCCACGCCUGUUACAGGCUGGCUACAGGUAUGCCUUACUGUCCCCUACAAUUCCCCUUUAAUAGCUUGGGAUAAAGAUAUCCUUUAUUAGAAAAACACCAGCCAAACGCAAGCCAGAUUAUGCCAGUAGCAGCAAGGCAGGGAGGCCAGAGAGAAAAGGGGCUCCCAUGUACUUUGCCGUCCCUUAAGAACCCCUCACUCAUCAUCCUGACCUCACCUUGACCACGCCCUGACAGGUGUAGUCAGGCUCACCUGUAGCCAGCCUCUAACAGGCAUGGCUUACUGUGCCCUACACAGCAUCACUGUGUGUAGCCCAACUAGCAUCUAAUUAUCUUAAACUUCUGAUCCUGUUGCAUUUGCCCCCCUUGGAUCAUAGGUAUAUACCAGCAUGCUCAGUUUAGGAGCACUAUUGUUUUGUUGUUGUUUGGAGCCUUGUUCUUAAUAAAGUACUCGAAAUGAAUAUUAGCCAUCUGCUGUAUUGAUUAGACAAACAACAGCUAUGUGGAGUAGCAUACGUUGUCAAAUAUAAGAAUAUGAAUUAACUAGCACAAUUAAGUUACAAUGCCUAUUCAAAUAUCCCUCCUCUGUAACUGUACUUUUGGUGUUGAUGAGUGUCUUGAUUAUCAAGUGUAUAUAUUUUCCAGAAACACUUCAGUUUGAUUGAACGGAGG
Molecule: long non-coding RNA, 3188 nt
Filed under: Cricetulus griseus (Chinese hamster)
Lineage: Eukaryota; Metazoa; Chordata; Mammalia; Rodentia; Cricetidae
Description: lncRNA (ENSCGRG00015040600.1)
Source: RNAcentral